RNAcentral lists this long non-coding RNA (444 nucleotides) under Sinocyclocheilus anshuiensis. RNAcentral describes it as "lncRNA (ENSSANG00000027428.1)". The record is from RNAcentral. Lineage: Eukaryota; Metazoa; Chordata; Actinopteri; Cypriniformes; Cyprinidae.
AUGAUACUUGCGGUUUUGUUUUUAGUCAUAUCUCGCUAAACGAGCAGUGGUUUACGAAAUUUAGACAGCCAGAAUGUAAAACUCGUGCAGAACUUUUACAAUGUUCAGAUGCUUGAAUCUUCUGCUGCUGCUUUGUCUCGUCUAUCACAGCGAAAUCACCUCUAUAUCUGUGUCAGGAAAAAAGGGAGGAAACGUCACACUAACAUGUGAAUCUGAGGCCAAUAAUAUUGUUCAGAUUGAGUUAUUCAGUGAGUCAGGAGACAUAGAUGUCUGUCAUGAUGAAGAAUGUAGUGGACGAGUAUUUAAAGAAGGAAACUGUGACGUCGUCAUCAAGAAUCUGAGCUUCAGUGAGGCUGGGAAAUAUAUUUUGCAUGUCUAUUACAAUAAUGAUCAGACAGAGCUGAAGCGACAAAUCAGGACGUACCAACUUCAUAUUCAUGGUAA